RNAcentral lists this ribosomal RNA (253 nucleotides) under uncultured bacterium. RNAcentral's name for it is "partial 16S ribosomal RNA". It matches the Rfam family "Bacterial small subunit ribosomal RNA", at positions 524 to 776 of the family's 1533-position model. The record is from RNAcentral.
UACGUAGGGGGCAAGCGUUGUCCGGAUUUAUUGGGCGUAAAGAGCGUGUAGGCGGCCAUACAGGUCAGCUGUGAAAACUCGAGGCUCAACCUCGAGACGUCGGUUGAAACCGUAUGGCUAGAGUCCGGAAGAGGAGAGUGGAAUUCCCGGUGUAGCGGUGAAAUGCGCAGAUAUCGUGAAGAACACCCGUGGCGAAGGCGGCUCUCUGGGACGGUACUGACGCUGAGACGCGAAAGCGUGGGGAGCGAACAGA